UUGGAAGAUGAUGACCAUAUUCUUACAUAUAAUGAGAAAAUCCUUCAAUGAGAAGAUUUCCAACCGAUUUGCAUGUCAGUCUGAUCCAG
This is a small nucleolar RNA of Zygosaccharomyces rouxii, 89 nucleotides long. The record is from RefSeq and is a predicted model, not a curated record. Lineage: Eukaryota; Fungi; Ascomycota; Saccharomycetes; Saccharomycetales; Saccharomycetaceae.